GAUGAACGAGGGUGGCGUGCUUAACACAUGCAAGUCGAACGGGAAACCUUUUAUUGAAGCUUCGGCAGAUUUAGCUGGUUUCUAGUGGCGGACGGGUGAGUAACGCGUGGGUAACCUGCCUUAUACAGGGGGAUAACAACCAGAAAUGGUUGCUAAUACCGCAUAAGCGCACAGGACCGCAUGGUCCGGUGUGAAAAACUCCGGUGGUAUAAGAUGGACCCGCGUUGGAUUAGCUAGUUGGCAGGGUAACGGCCUACCAAGGCGACGAUCCAUAGCCGGCCUGAGAGGGUGAACGGCCACAUUGGGACUGAGACACGGCCCAGACUCCUACGGGAGGCAGCAGUGGGGAAUAUUGCACAAUGGGGGAAACCCUGAUGCAGCGACGCCGCGUGAAGGAAGAAGUAUCUCGGUAUGUAAACUUCUAUCAGCAGGGAAGAUAGUGACGGUACCUGACUAAGAAGCCCCGGCUAACUACGUG
RNAcentral lists this ribosomal RNA (478 nucleotides) under uncultured bacterium. RNAcentral describes it as "partial 16S ribosomal RNA". It matches the Rfam family "Bacterial small subunit ribosomal RNA", at positions 28 to 507 of the family's 1533-position model. The record is from RNAcentral.